UUUUGGACAAUGGGGGAAACCCUGAUCCAGCAAUUCCGCGUGAGCGAAGAAGGCCUUCNGGUUGUNANGCUCUUUCGGCAGGGAANCAAAUGACGGUACCUGACGAAGAACCACCGGCUAACUCCGUGCCACCAGCCGCGGUAAUACGGAGGGGGCUAGCGUUGUUCGGAAUCACUGGGCGUAAAGCGCACGUAGGCGGCUACUCAAGUCAGAGGCGAAAGCCUGGGGCUCAACCUCAGAAUUGCCUUUGAAACUAGGUAGCUUGAAGAUGGGAGAGGUAAGCGGAAUUCCGAGUGUAGAGGUGAAAUUCGUAGAUAUUCGGAAGAACACCAGUGGCGAAGGCGGCUUACUGGACCAUUCUUGACGCUGAGGUGCGAAAGCGUGGGGAGCAAACA
RNAcentral lists this ribosomal RNA (395 nucleotides) under uncultured bacterium. Its description in RNAcentral is "partial 16S ribosomal RNA". It matches the Rfam family "Bacterial small subunit ribosomal RNA", at positions 362 to 774 of the family's 1533-position model. The record is from RNAcentral.